GCCUACGGGAGGCAGCAGUGGGGGAUAUUGCACAAUGGGGGAAACCCUGAUGCAGCGACACCGCGUGGGUGAAGAAGCGCUUCGGCGUGUAAAGCCCUAUCAGUGGGGAAGAAAAAGGACGGUACCCAAAGAAGAAGCACCGGCUAACUCCGUGCCAGCAGCCGCGGUAAUACGGAGGAUGCGAGCGUUAUCCGGAUUUAUUGGGUUUAAAGGGUGCGCAGGUGGACCAUCAAGUCAGCGGUAAAAUCGUGGGGCCCAACCCCAUCCCGCCGUUGAAACUGGCGGUCUUGAGUGAGCGAGAAGUA
This 305-nucleotide ribosomal RNA is filed under the name uncultured bacterium. Its description in RNAcentral is "bacterial SSU rRNA". It matches the Rfam family "Bacterial small subunit ribosomal RNA", at positions 337 to 659 of the family's 1533-position model. The record is from RNAcentral.